UGGUAUUUAGUUUAAAGUAAAAUAAAUGAUUUCGACUCAUUAGAUUGUGAUUAAGCUCAUAACUACCAA
RNAcentral lists this transfer RNA (69 nucleotides) under Muntiacus reevesi (Reeves' muntjac). Its description in RNAcentral is "tRNA-Arg". It matches the Rfam family "tRNA". Rfam says of the family: Transfer RNA (tRNA) molecules are approximately 80 nucleotides in length. Their secondary structure includes four short double-helical elements and three loops (D, anti-codon, and T loops). Further hydrogen bonds mediate the characteristic L-shaped molecular structure. tRNAs have two regions of fundamental functional importance: the anti-codon, which is responsible for specific mRNA codon recognition, and the 3' end, to which the tRNAs corresponding amino acid is attached (by aminoacyl-tRNA synthetases). tRNAs cope with the degeneracy of the genetic code in two manners: having more than one tRNA (with a specific anti-codon) for a particular amino acid; and 'wobble' base-pairing, i.e. permitting non-standard base-pairing at the 3rd anti-codon position. Lineage: Eukaryota; Metazoa; Chordata; Mammalia; Artiodactyla; Cervidae. The record is from RNAcentral.